Molecule: ribosomal RNA, 117 nt
Filed under: Chloroflexota bacterium
Lineage: Bacteria; Bacillati; Chloroflexota
Source: RNAcentral
UUUGGUGACUCGAGCGGCGGGGACACACCCGGUCCCAUCCCGAACCCGGAAGUUAAGCCCGCCAGCGCCGAUGGUACUUGGCUGGAGACGGCCUGGGAGAGUAGGUCGUUGCCAGGG